CUCACACUCGAGUCCUGACCGAGGGCCUUGAAACUUGCAUGCCUGUUCAAAACAUCUCCAGGACAACAAGGUUAUUUUGUGUUGACGUGUAUUGAAUUCUUAAGGGCAAAGAAGAUGAAGGAGAAUGCGUGCAGUGGGCUGAAUGGAGAAUUCGUGAAUCAAAGGCAACACCAUCAAAUGCAUUAUGAAAUUAAGCACUAUCAGGUUGUCAAGGCUGUAGCUCAGCGGGCACAUGGUCCUGGAUACCCGAUUUUUUUUUUAUUUAUAUAUGGAAUCUGAAUGCACUCUCCAAGAAAUGCUGCAGUUCUUUGUGCCACAAGAGGCCAAGAAGCUCUACUACAAGAAGUUGAGGCAGAAGAUGAAGAUUAUUACAAAUUAUCCAAGUCAGUUCCGACCAAGUAAUUUGAUUGGACAAGAGGCAUUCCAGUGCUGAUAUAGAGUAUAACAGCACUGGGUCUUUUAACUAUACACGUAUCGCUCCGCUUUACGGGUGUUCUCAUAACCGUUAAUGUUAUUAACAAUCUUUUUGUAGCUUAGAUUGCAGCUAACUUUGCACAGCAAAUAUGAACAUGUUUCCAGGAAUAACAUUGGAGUUGAAUUAAGAAUGGUCGCCAGAAGAGGACCAAGGGAACCUAAUGCUAAUGUGUUUAUGUGUUGCUUGGCAACAGUUCAGUUCAGUUGCGGAUCUAUUUGUGUUGGCGGAGCCAAAUAAAUCAUUAAUGAACCAAAGAAAUCUGAUCAUAAUAUGUUGUUAAUUAUUAUUGUUAACUAAUGAUUGGUGCUUGUAGAACUGUUGUAUAAAAGCAAUAUCACUCAGGAGGGAGUGCUGUUGUACUACGGCUGGGAUUCGGUCGUAGGUACGAGGCCGUUGGCCGAGUGCCGAAGAGAAUCACAGCCGUGCUGAUAUUCAGUACAACAGCACUCCCUCUCGUGUGAUAUUGCUUAAUUAUUCUGUUCCAAAAUUCCAUAAAAAGUCUGAUUACUAAGAAAUAUUGAUGUAUCAUUACUUUUGUCAGUUUCAAGUUUUUGUUUCAACACAGGGGUACCAACAAUGUGUAUGAUGUAUGACUACCUGAAAGCAUUUGUCGAUGACCUCACCCAGCUGCUGAGAGAACCUUCGGAGGUAAAGCUCUAAAGGUGUGCUCCUUUAUAAGCGAUGCUCCAGCAUGUGCUUUUUUCCAAAACAGUGUGCUAUCCUCUGGUUCAGUCUUUAUCAUCUACAGUUGAUUUAGGUACAAAAAAUCCCAUUUCACAUAUCCCAAUGAUUAAAUGCACCUCUGCUGUUUGGGUGUAAAUUUUGCCAUCACUAUUUCUUGUUACGGAGAUGAGGACAACUACUUGCCUCUUUCAUGCAUCUCCUUUGUCCACAUCUAUGUUUGGGGAAUGUAAUUUGAAGCCAUUCCUCAAGUGUUUGCUAUGCCUCAUUGUUUAUUACACUGCAUACUGCAUUGGCACACUUGGGAAAAAAAUAUAUAUUUUAUUCAAUUUCUUCCCUUCUACAAUGCGGCAGCAUAAUCAUUACUACAGAUUUUUUUUCCCCACUUUAUUCUGUUUUGGGCAUUUCCUACCAGUGCAAAGAUGUUUAAAUUAGUCACUGAAAGCAGUGUUCUGAAAUGAUAUCAAAAAUAGUUGUGGCCUGUAUAUGUAUGCAUGGCCUUCACAUAUUUUUUGUAAAGCUGUACAUGUCUUUAAAGAUAUUGAUGCGGAUGUUUCCACAUUUACAUUUCUCAGUGCAAAUGGGUUUUUGAAUACGUUUCUGAAAGUAGUGCUUUGAGAUGUUUGAGAUAACAAACAUUUAAUAUGUUGGAAAUAUUUUUGGUCGCUGUGUCAUAAUUCAGCUUAAUAUUUAAUAUAUUGUUUCUUAUGGCACAUUAACAAGAAAAUGUCAAACUGGCACUGAAUGUUGAAAAGGUUGCUGACCCCUGGUUACUGUAUUCCCUCUCCCGCUCCAUUACAUGUAUGUUCGUUUAUUUCAAGUAAACUUGUUUUUCUGUGUUAUUACAACCUUGCAACACA
This is a long non-coding RNA of Gadus macrocephalus (Pacific cod), 2016 nucleotides long. RefSeq lists it as uncharacterized. The transcript is spliced from 2 exons. NCBI's taxonomy places the organism in Eukaryota, Metazoa, Chordata, Actinopteri, Gadiformes, Gadidae. The record is from RefSeq and is a predicted model, not a curated record.